RNAcentral lists this ribosomal RNA (279 nucleotides) under uncultured bacterium. Its description in RNAcentral is "partial 16S ribosomal RNA". It matches the Rfam family "Bacterial small subunit ribosomal RNA", at positions 506 to 784 of the family's 1533-position model. The record is from RNAcentral.
UGCCAGCAGCCGCGGUAAUACGGAGGGUGCAAGCGUUGUCCGGAUUUAUUGGGUUUAAAGGGUGCGUAGGCGGCUUUUUAAGUCAGUGGUGAAAUCCUGCAGCUCAACUGUAGAACUGCCAUUGAUACUGGAAAGCUUGAGUACAGACGAGGUAGGCGGAAUUUAUGGUGUAGCGGUGAAAUGCAUAGAUACCAUAAAGAACACCUAUAGCGAAGGCAGCUUACUAGACUGUAACUGACGCUGAGGCACGAAAGCGUGGGGAGCGAACAGGAUUAGAUA